AAAUUGAAGAGUUUGAUCAUGGCCCAGAUUGAACGCUGGCGGCAGGCCUAACACAUGCAAGUCGAGCGGUAGCACAGAGAGCUUGCUCUCGGGUGACGAGCGGCGGACGGGUGAGUAAUGUCUGGGAAACUGCCUGAUGGAGGGGGAUAACUACUGGAAACGGUAGCUAAUACCGCAUAACGUCGCAAGACCAAAGUGGGGGACCUUCGGGCCUCAUGCCAUCAGAUGUGCCCAGAUGGGAUUAGCUAGUAGGUGGGGUAAUGGCUCACCUAGGCGACGAUCCCUAGCUGGUCUGAGAGGAUGACCAGCCACACUGGAACUGAGACACGGUCCAGACUCCUACGGGAGGCAGCAGUGGGGAAUAUUGCACAAUGGGCGCAAGCCUGAUGCAGCCAUGCCGCGUGUGUGAAGAAGGCCUUCGGGUUGUAAAGCACUUUCAGCGGGGAGGAAGGCGUUAAGGUUAAUAACCUUGGCGAUUGACGUUACCCGCAGAAGAAGCACCGGCUAACUCCGUGCCAGCAGCCGCGGUAAUACGGAGGGUGCAAGCGUUAAUCGGAAUUACUGGGCGUAAAGCGCACGCAGGCGGUCUGUCAAGUCGGAUGUGAAAUCCCCGGGCUCAACCUGGGAACUGCAUUCGAAACUGGCAGGCUAGAGUCUUGUAGAGGGGGGUAGAAUUCCAGGUGUAGCGGUGAAAUGCGUAGAGAUCUGGAGGAAUACCGGUGGCGAAGGCGGCCCCCUGGACAAAGACUGACGCUCAGGUGCGAAAGCGUGGGGAGCAAACAGGAUUAGAUACCCUGGUAGUCCACGCCGUAAACGAUGUCGAUUUGGAGGUUGUGCCCUUGAGGCGUGGCUUCCGGAGCUAACGCGUUAAAUCGACCGCCUGGGGAGUACGGCCGCAAGGUUAAAACUCAAAUGAAUUGACGGGGGCCCGCACAAGCGGUGGAGCAUGUGGUUUAAUUCGAUGCAACGCGAAGAACCUUACCUGGUCUUGACAUCCACAGAACUUUCCAGAGAUGGAUUGGUGCCUUCGGGAACUGUGAGACAGGUGCUGCAUGGCUGUCGUCAGCUCGUGUUGUGAAAUGUUGGGUUAAGUCCCGCAACGAGCGCAACCCUUAUCCUUUGUUGCCAGCGGUUAGGCCGGGAACUCAAAGGAGACUGCCAGUGAUAAACUGGAGGAAGGUGGGGAUGACGUCAAGUCAUCAUGGCCCUUACGACCAGGGCUACACACGUGCUACAAUGGCAUAUACAAAGAGAAGCGACCUCGCGAGAGCAAGCGGACCUCAUAAAGUAUGUCGUAGUCCGGAUUGGAGUCUGCAACUCGACUCCAUGAAGUCGGAAUCGCUAGUAAUCGUAGAUCAGAAUGCUACGGUGAAUACGUUCCCGGGCCUUGUACACACCGCCCGUCACACCAUGGGAGUGGGUUGCAAAAGAAGUAGGUAGCUUAACCUUCGGGAGGGCGCUUACCACUUUGUGAUUCAUGACUGGGGUGAAGUCGUAACAAGGUAACCGUAGGGGAACCUGCGGUUGGAUCACCUCCUUA
Molecule: ribosomal RNA, 1540 nt
Filed under: Klebsiella pneumoniae
Lineage: Bacteria; Pseudomonadati; Pseudomonadota; Gammaproteobacteria; Enterobacterales; Enterobacteriaceae
Description: bacterial SSU rRNA
Rfam family: Bacterial small subunit ribosomal RNA
Source: RNAcentral